GACGAACGCUGGCGGCGUGCUUAACACAUGCAAGUCGAACGGAAAGGCCCUGCUCUUGUGGGGUGCUCGAGUGGCGAACGGGUGAGUAACACGCGAGUAACCUGCCCUUGACUUUGGGAUAACUUCAGGAAACUGGGGCUAAUACCGGAUAGGAGCUCCUGCUGCAUGGUGGGGGUUGGAAAGUUUCGGCGGUUGGGGAUGGACUCGCGGCUUAUCAGCUUGUUGGUGGGGUAGUGGCUUACCAAGGCUUGGACGGGUAGCCGGCCUGGAAGGGCGACCGGCCCCAUAGGACUUAGGAAGGGACCAGACUCCUACGGGAGGCAGCAGUGGGGAAUAUUGCACAAUGGGCGGAAGCCUGAUGCAGCAACGCCGCGUGCGGGAUGACGGCCUUCGGGUUAUAAACCGCUUUCGCCUGUGACGAAGCGUGAGUGACGGUAAUGGGUAAAGAAGCACCGGCUAACUACGUG
This 467-nucleotide ribosomal RNA is filed under the name uncultured bacterium. RNAcentral's name for it is "partial 16S ribosomal RNA". It matches the Rfam family "Bacterial small subunit ribosomal RNA", at positions 28 to 507 of the family's 1533-position model. The record is from RNAcentral.